AAGCCAAGCUUGCUUGGUGGAUCAGUGGCGAACGGGUGAGUAACACGUGAGCAACCUGCCCUGGACUCUGGGAUAAGCGCUGGAAACGGCGUCUAAUACUGGAUAUGAGCUCCUUCCGCAUGGUGGGGGUUGGAAAGAUUUUUCGGUCUGGGAUGGGCUCGCGGCCUAUCAGCUUGUUGGUGAGGUAAUGGCUCACCAAGGCGUCGACGGGUAGCCGGCCUGAGAGGGUGACCGGCCACACUGGGACUGAGACACGGCCCAGACUCCUACGGGAGGCAGCAGUGGGGAAUAUUGCACAAUGGGCGGAAGCCUGAUGCAGCAACGCCGCGUGAGGGAUGACGGCCUUCGGGUUGUAAACCUCUUUUAGCAGGGAAGAAGCGAAAGUGACGGUACCUGCAGAAAAAGCGCCGGCUAACUACGUGCCAGCAGCCGCGGUAAUACGUAGGGCGCAAGCGUUAUCCGGAAUUAUUGGGCGUAAAGAGCUCGUAGGCGGUUUGUCGCGUCUGCUGUGAAAUCCCGAGGCUCAACCUCGGGCCUGCAGUGGGUACGGGCAGACUAGAGUGCGGUAGGGGAGAUUGGAAUUCCUGGUGUAGCGGUGGAAUGCGCAGAUAUCAGGAGGAACACCGAUGGCGAAGGCAGAUCUCUGGGCCGUAACUGACGCUGAGGAGCGAAAGGGUGGGGAGCAAACAGGCUUAGAUACCCUGGUAGUCCACCCCGUAAACGUUGGGAACUAGUUGUGGGGACCAUUCCACGGUUUCCGUGACGCAGCUAACGCAUUAAGUUCCCCGCCUGGGGAGUACGGCCGCAAGGCUAAAACUCAAAGGAAUUGACGGGGACCCGCACAAGCGGCGGAGCAUGCGGAUUAAUUCGAUGCAACGCGAAGAACCUUACCAAGGCUUGACAUAUACGAGAACGGGCCAGAAAUGGUCAACUCUUUGGACACUCGUAAACAGGUGGUGCAUGGUUGUCGUCAGCUCGUGUCGUGAGAUGUUGGGUUAAGUCCCGCAACGAGCGCAACCCUCGUUUUAUGUUGCCAGCACGUAAUGGUGGGAACUCAUGGGAUACUGCCGGGGUCAACUCGGAGGAAGGUGGGGAUGACGUCAAAUCAUCAUGCCCCUUAUGUCUUGGGCUUCACGCAUGCUACAAUGGCCGGUACAAAGGGCUGCAAUACCGUAAGGUGGAGCGAAUCCCAAAAAGCCGGUCCCAGUUUGGAUUGAGGUCUGCAACUCGACCUCAUGAAGUCGGAGUCGCUAGUAAUCGCAGAUCAGCAACGCUGCGGUGAAUACGUUCCCGGGUCUUGUACACACCGCCCGUCAAGUCAUGAAAGUCGGUAACACCUG
RNAcentral lists this ribosomal RNA (1340 nucleotides) under Microbacterium sp. G17. RNAcentral's name for it is "bacterial SSU rRNA". It matches the Rfam family "Bacterial small subunit ribosomal RNA", at positions 71 to 1423 of the family's 1533-position model. The record is from RNAcentral. Lineage: Bacteria; Bacillati; Actinomycetota; Actinomycetes; Micrococcales; Microbacteriaceae.